GCUCAGAGCGAACGCUGGCGGCAGGCUUAACACAUGCAAGUCGAGCGGGCAUAGCAAUAUGUCAGCGGCAGACGGGUGAGUAACGCGUGGGAACGUACCUUUUGGUUCGGAACAACACAGGGAAACUUGUGCUAAUACCGGAUAAGCCCUUACGGGGAAAGAUUUAUCGCCGAAAGAUCGGCCCGCGUCUGAUUAGCUAGUUGGUGGGGUAAUGGCCCACCAAGGCGACGAUCAGUAGCUGGUCUGAGAGGAUGAUCAGCCACAUUGGGACUGAGACACGGCCCAAACUCCUACGGGAGGCAGCAGUGGGGAAUAUUGGACAAUGGGCGCAAGCCUGAUCCAGCCAUGCCGCGUGAGUGAUGAAGGCCCUAGGGUUGUAAAGCUCUUUUGUGCGGGAAGAUAAUGACGGUACCGCAAGAAUAAGCCCCGGCUAACUUCGUGCCAGCAGCCGCGGUAAUACGAAGGGGGCUAGCGUUGCUCGGAAUCACUGGGCGUAAAGGGUGCGUAGGCGGGUCUUUAAGUCAGGGGUGAAAUCCUGGAGCUCAACUCCAGAACUGCCUUUGAUACCGAAGAUCUUGAGUUCGAUCUUGAGUUCGGGAGAGGUGAGUGGAUCUCCGAGUGUAGAGGUGAAAUUCGUAGAUAUUCGCAAGAACCCCAGUGGCGAAGGCGGCUCACUGGCCCGAUACUGACGUUGAGGCACGAAAGCGUGGGGAGCAAACAGGAUUAGAUCCCCUGGUAGUCCACCCCGUAAACGUUGAAUGCCAGCCGUUAGUGGGUUUACUCACUAGUGGCGCAGCUA
RNAcentral lists this ribosomal RNA (799 nucleotides) under Bradyrhizobium sp. RNAcentral describes it as "bacterial SSU rRNA". It matches the Rfam family "Bacterial small subunit ribosomal RNA", at positions 22 to 854 of the family's 1533-position model. The record is from RNAcentral. Lineage: Bacteria; Pseudomonadati; Pseudomonadota; Alphaproteobacteria; Hyphomicrobiales; Nitrobacteraceae.